AAACAACUGCUUAACGGUUGUAUGCAUUGGAAACUUCUAGUCUAGAGUGUGGUAGAGAGUUCUGGAACUCCAUGUGGAGCGGUGGAAUGCGUAGAUAUAUGGAAGAACACCAGUUGCGAAGGCGAGAACUUAGGCCAUAACUGACGCUUAGGCUUGAAAGUGUGGGGAGCAAAUAGGAUUAGAUACCCUAGUAGUCCACACCGUAAACGAUGGAUGUUAGAUGUCGGGGUAAACGCCUCGGUGUCGUAGCU
RNAcentral lists this ribosomal RNA (251 nucleotides) under Mycoplasmoides pirum. RNAcentral describes it as "Mycoplasma pirum partial 16S rRNA". It matches the Rfam family "Bacterial small subunit ribosomal RNA", at positions 599 to 853 of the family's 1533-position model. Lineage: Bacteria; Bacillati; Mycoplasmatota; Mycoplasmoidales; Mycoplasmoidaceae. The record is from RNAcentral.